AUGAAACACUCCUACGGGAGGCAGCAGUGGGGAUAUUGGACAAUGGGCGAAAGCCUGAUCCAGCCAUGCCGCGUGUGUGAAGAAGGUCUUCGGAUUGUAAAGCACUUUAAGUUGGGAGGAAGGGCAUUAACCUAAUACGUUAGUGUUUUGACGUUACCGACAGAAUAAGCACCGGCUAACUUCGUGCCAGCAGCCGCGGUAAUACGAAGGGUGCAAGCGUUAAUCGGAAUUACUGGGCGUAAAGCGCGCGUAGGUGGUUUGUUAAGUUGAAUGUGAAAGCCCCGGGCUCAACCUGGGAACUGCAUCCAAAACUGGCAAGCUAGAGUAUGGCAGAGGGUGGUGGAAUUUCCUGUGUAGCGGUGAAAUGCGUAGAUAUAGGAAGGAACACCAGUGGCGAAGGCGACCACCUGGGCUAAUACUGACACUGAGGUGCGAAAGCGUGGGGAGCAAACAGGAUUAGAUACCCCAGUAGUCCGAAGUUC
RNAcentral lists this ribosomal RNA (482 nucleotides) under uncultured bacterium. RNAcentral's name for it is "bacterial SSU rRNA". It matches the Rfam family "Bacterial small subunit ribosomal RNA", at positions 328 to 802 of the family's 1533-position model. The record is from RNAcentral.